GCUGUGAGUAGUGGUUCUGACUGC
This 24-nucleotide non-coding RNA is filed under the name Cricetulus griseus (Chinese hamster). The record is from RNAcentral. Lineage: Eukaryota; Metazoa; Chordata; Mammalia; Rodentia; Cricetidae.